AGGACUUGAAGAUGGAAGGAGUAAGGUAUUCUGAUUAAGUUUUUCUCCCUAAAAUUUAGCUCACCCAUGCAGAGAAUGUUAGAAGUUGAACUUUGGCUUUUAAAAGUAAAUGAUUGGAAAGAGAUUGGGCAAGAAGCAUAUGUGGAACAUCGCCUUGCUCAAAAUCGACAAUCAAAUGAUGCAAAUCUAACCCUUGUGGAGGAGUGAAGGAAGCAAUAGGGGCAUGAAUAAUUAUUUUUUUCUCUUGCAAAAGUAUAUUGAUAUGUUUGAAUAAAGUGAUGUUUCACUAUUUUGAAUGAUAGUGUUGAACCUUUCAGUCUUUUGUUUUCUAAUAUAUUGCUUUUAUUACACAA
Lycium barbarum (goji berry) is the source of this 353-nucleotide long non-coding RNA. RefSeq lists it as uncharacterized. The record is from RefSeq and is a predicted model, not a curated record. Lineage: Eukaryota; Viridiplantae; Streptophyta; Magnoliopsida; Solanales; Solanaceae. The transcript is spliced from 4 exons.